UCAAUCGACUCUGCCUCGUUCACGCAUACAACAUUGCUGGCAAUUGAUCCACAGAUCUCGCAAAUCCUGCAGACAAAACCGUUUCAGGGGAAAAAUAUAAUGCGUUUUAAGGA
Long non-coding RNA from Ipomoea nil (Japanese morning glory), 113 nucleotides. RefSeq lists it as uncharacterized. The record is from RefSeq and is a predicted model, not a curated record. NCBI's taxonomy places the organism in Eukaryota, Viridiplantae, Streptophyta, Magnoliopsida, Solanales, Convolvulaceae. The transcript has 4 exons.